CGCAUCUGUGCAUGCAGCAUAUCAAUAAGCGGAGGAAAAGAAACUAACAAGGAUUCCCUUAGUAACGGCGAGUGAAGCGGGAAGAGCUCAAAUUUGAAAUCUUCAAGGUUUUACCUUGACGAAUUGUAGUUUAAAGAAGUGUUUUCUGUUGAAGUUUUGGUAAAAGUUCUUUGGAAUAGGACAUCAUAGAGGGUGAGAAUCCCGUACUUGACCAUUUACUUUCAGCUGUGUGAUACACUUUCAAAGAGUCGGAUUGUUUGGGAAUGCAGUCCAAAAUGGGUGGUAAAUUUCAUCUAAAGCUAAAUAUUGGCGAGAGACCGAUAGCGAACAAGUACCGUGAGGGAAAGAUGAAAAGAACUUUGAAAAGAGAGUUAAACAGUACGUGAAAUUGUCAAAAGGGAAGCGUUUGACACCAGUGUUGUUUUUCUGAAAAUCAAUUAAAGAACUGUUUAUGCUAAGCUGUUUAGACUUUAUCAGCUAUCUGUUUAGUUUUGAGCUUUUCUUUAAUGCACUUUUCAGUUAACAAGUCUACAUCAAUUUCUUUUGCUGUAAAAAAGCUUGAGGAAGGUGGCUUGAGAUUCGUCUUAAGUGUUUAUAGCCUCUUGCCUAUGCAGUCGGAGAGAUUGAGGUCUGCAGCGUAGAUCCUUCGGGGCUAAAUGCAUUUGUGCUAAGUUAUAGCAUUUUAUAGACAACUUGUUGACUAUGAUUUGUCUUGUAGCUUACUCGCUUGUGCUAUUUUACCUACGCUUAGGAUGUUGAUCUCUCACAGUCGAGC
This 775-nucleotide ribosomal RNA is filed under the name uncultured Neocallimastigales. Its description in RNAcentral is "partial large subunit ribosomal RNA". It matches the Rfam family "Eukaryotic large subunit ribosomal RNA", at positions 26 to 645 of the family's 3401-position model. The record is from RNAcentral. Lineage: Eukaryota; Fungi; Neocallimastigomycota; Neocallimastigomycetes; Neocallimastigales.